AACGAACGCUGGCGGCGUGCCUAACACAUGCAAGUCGAGCGCGAAAGUCCCUUCGGGGGCAAGUAGAGCGGCGGACGGGUGAGUAAUACGUGGAUAAUCUUCCCUCGAGCUUGGGAUAACCCUGCGAAAGCGGGGCUAAUACCGGAUAAGACCACAUGUCAUAUGCCAUGUGGUAGAAGGUGGCUUAUAUUUAUAUGAGCUAUCACUUGAGGAUGAGUCCAUGGCCUAUCAGCUUGUUGGUGAGGUAAGAGCUCACCAAGGCUAUGACGGGUAGCUGGUCUGAGAGGACGACCAGCCACACUGGGACUGAGAUACGGCCCAGACUCCUACGGGAGCAG
This 338-nucleotide ribosomal RNA is filed under the name uncultured Pseudomonadota bacterium. RNAcentral describes it as "bacterial SSU rRNA". It matches the Rfam family "Bacterial small subunit ribosomal RNA", at positions 29 to 351 of the family's 1533-position model. Lineage: Bacteria; Pseudomonadati; Pseudomonadota. The record is from RNAcentral.